RNAcentral lists this ribosomal RNA (1287 nucleotides) under Kalotermes flavicollis. RNAcentral's name for it is "16S ribosomal RNA". The stretch from base 848 to 1215 matches the Rfam family "Archaeal large subunit ribosomal RNA", at positions 2150 to 2716 of the family's 2987-position model. Lineage: Eukaryota; Metazoa; Arthropoda; Insecta; Blattodea; Kalotermitidae. The record is from RNAcentral.
UUAUUUUUUUUUGUUGUUGAUUGUUUAUUUUUGGUAAAUUAUUAUUUUGUUGUUGUACUGGUAUUGAUUUAAUUUAUUUUAUUAUAGUUUAUUUGUACUGUAGGGGGUUUGGAUAUAUGUUUUUGGAAGCUUUCUUUUUUUGUUGUACCUUGUGUAUCAGGGUUUAUUAAUUUUUAUUAUUUAUUUUUUAUCUCCCGAUUUUGGAGGAGUUAAUUGGAUAUUUUAGUUACUGUUUCAUCAGUAUUAAUAAUAUCUUGUUGGUAGUGAUAUGUUAUUCGUCUCUGGUGGUAUCUGGUUUUCCAGGAAAUGAAUUUAAUUCACGUGCUUUAUUUUGCUUUUCUUUAUUUUUUGUAAUGUUUUAUUUAGUACGAAGAGUUUGGGGGAUAAGCUCCAAGUUUUACUUUUAUAAUGUUUUCUCUAUUAAUUUUUGUUGAUUUUGUGUUGAUUAUCUAUUUGAGUAUGUUAAAAUUUUAAUUUUGUUAGAUUUGGAUUUUCUUUCAUUUAAGUGUUUUACUGGAAUAUUUGAUUUAAUUUUUCUUUAUUGUGAUUAUGAUAUAAUUAGUAUAUGAUUUUCUUGUAUAGUUUUAUGUGGUGAUAAUUUCUUUAGAGGAACUAGGCAAAAGUAUGUGCUCGCCUGUUUAACAAAAACAUCUCUUCUUGAUUUUAUUUUUGAAGUAUGACCUGCCCACUGAGUAUUUGAAGGGCCGCGGUAUUUUGACCGUGCAAAGGUAGCAUAAUCAUUAGUUCUUUAAUUGUGGACUGGUAUGAAUGGUUUGACGAGGUACUAACUGUCUUUAUUAGGAUUUGCAGUUGAAUUUGGGUUUUGGGUAAAAAUACCUAAAUGUUUUUAUGGGACGAGAAGACCCUAUAGAGUUUUAUAUAAUUUUGGUUUGAUGUUGUUUGUUUAUUGAUUUGUUUACUUUGUUGUAUUUUGUUGGGGUGAUGGGAGGAUACUUUCAACUCUUCCUUAUUUUUUAUACUUGUUUGUAUAUCUUUGAUCCUGUAUUAUUGAUUUUAAGAUUAAAUUACCUUAGGGAUAACAGCGUAAUCUUUUCUGAGAGUUCUUAUUGACGAAAGGGGUUGCGACCUCGAUGUUGGAUUAAGAUGAAUUUUUGGUGUAGAAGCUUUAAUAAUUGUAUUAGGUCUGUUCGACCUUUAAAAUCUUACAUGAUCUGAGUUCAGACCGGCGUGAGCCAGGUUGGUUUCUAUCUAUAAUUUUCUUGAAUUUCUUAGUACGAGAGGACCAGAAGUUUGAAAUAAUUUUAUUUUUAUGAAUGUUAUUAAUUU